GGAGAGGUGGCUGAGUGGUCGAAAGCGGCGGAUUGCUAAUCCGUUGUAGGUCGAGUAAUCUCCUACCGAGGGUUCGAAUCCCUCCCUCUCCG
RNAcentral lists this transfer RNA (92 nucleotides) under Gloeobacterales cyanobacterium ES-bin-313. It matches the Rfam family "tRNA". Rfam says of the family: Transfer RNA (tRNA) molecules are approximately 80 nucleotides in length. Their secondary structure includes four short double-helical elements and three loops (D, anti-codon, and T loops). Further hydrogen bonds mediate the characteristic L-shaped molecular structure. tRNAs have two regions of fundamental functional importance: the anti-codon, which is responsible for specific mRNA codon recognition, and the 3' end, to which the tRNAs corresponding amino acid is attached (by aminoacyl-tRNA synthetases). tRNAs cope with the degeneracy of the genetic code in two manners: having more than one tRNA (with a specific anti-codon) for a particular amino acid; and 'wobble' base-pairing, i.e. permitting non-standard base-pairing at the 3rd anti-codon position. Lineage: Bacteria; Bacillati; Cyanobacteriota; Cyanophyceae; Gloeobacterales. The record is from Rfam by way of RNAcentral.